Molecule: ribosomal RNA, 495 nt
Filed under: uncultured bacterium
Lineage: Bacteria
Description: partial 16S ribosomal RNA
Rfam family: Bacterial small subunit ribosomal RNA
Source: RNAcentral
GACGAACGCUGGCGGCGUGCCUAAUACAUGCAAGUAGAACGCUGAAGGAGGAGCUUGCUUCUCUGGAUGAGUUGCGAACGGGUGAGUAACGCGUAGGUAACCUGCCUGGUAGCGGGGGAUAACUAUUGGAAACGAUAGCUAAUACCGCAUAAUAGUAGAUGUUGCAUGACAUUUGCUUAAAAGGUGCAAUUGCAUCACUACCAGAUGGACCUGCGUUGUAUUAGCUAGUUGGUGGGGGAACGGCUCACCAAGGCGACGAUACAUAGCCGACCUGAGAGGGUGGUCGGCCACCCUGGGACUGAGACACGGCCCAGAAUCCUACGGGGGGCAGCAGUAGGGAAUCUUCGGCAAUGGACGGAAGUCUGACCGAGCAACGCCGCGUGAGUGAAGAAGGUUUUCGGAUCGUAAAGCUCUGUUGUAAGAGAAGAACGAGUGUGAGAGUGGAAAGUUCACACUGUGACGGUAUCUUACCAGAAAGGGACGGCUAACUACGUG